RNAcentral lists this ribosomal RNA (403 nucleotides) under uncultured bacterium. RNAcentral's name for it is "bacterial SSU rRNA". It matches the Rfam family "Bacterial small subunit ribosomal RNA", at positions 30 to 431 of the family's 1533-position model. The record is from RNAcentral.
AUUGAACGCUGGCGGCAUGCUUUACACAUGCAAGUCGAACGGUAACAGGGAGCUUGCUCCGCUGACGAGUGGCGAACGGGUGAGUAAUGCAUCGGAACGUGCCGUGUAAUGGGGGAUAACGUAGCGAAAGUUACGCUAAUACCGCAUACGCCCUGAGGGGGAAAGUGGGGGACCGCAAGGCCUCACGUUAUACGAGCGGCCGAUGUCGGAUUAGCUAGUUGGUGGGGUAAAGGCCUACCAAGGCGACGAUCCGUAGCGGGUCUGAGAGGAUGAUCCGCCACACUGGGACUGAGACACGGCCCAGACUCCUACGGGAGGCAGCAGUGGGGAAUUUUGGACAAUGGGGGCAACCCUGAUCCAGCCAUGUCGCGUGAGUGAAGAAGGCCUUCGGGUUGUUAAAAGG